Long non-coding RNA from Oncorhynchus tshawytscha (Chinook salmon), 577 nucleotides. Lineage: Eukaryota; Metazoa; Chordata; Actinopteri; Salmoniformes; Salmonidae. The record is from Ensembl.
CUCAUUGAAAACAUCUGAAGUUCUUCAAAGAGGUGAUGACUACUCCACUCCACUACCAUUGUCAACUCUCUCCUUACAUGAACUGAAGCCAUGUCUCAUGUACCUGCUCAUCCACUGGCACAUUGAAUUCAAAUCCUGUCCUGCCCUCAGUGGAAGUUGAGCUCUUCCUCAACACCAUCCAUCCAUGAUGAGCCUGUCCUGCACUGAAGCCAAUGAACACCUCAAACCCGGUCCUGCAUUGAAGUCAAGCCUGUGAACACCUCAACUCAUGCCUCAUACCCUCAUUCAAUCACUGCUGUAAUCCCUUCCCAACACUGUUUUCCAUAGAUGGAUAUUUUGGGUAUAUAUGGACCGAUUUAAUCGAAAAAAAGACCCAAUAGUGAUGUUUAUGGGACAUAUAGGAGUGCCAACAAAGAAGCUCGUCCAAGGUUCUGUCCAGAAGCAGUGUCUUCAGUCCCCGAAACAAGUACAGAUUGACAGGAUAAAGUGUCACUGGCCGAUCCUGACAAAGUUUAUACAGCCAUACCGGCAGCAGGCAACAAGCCUGCAGGCGGCAUCCGCACGUGCACACACACAC